UGGAGGCAGCAGUGGGGAAUAUUGCUCAAUGGCCGAAAGGCUGAAGCAGCAACGCCGUGUGAAGGAUGAAGGGAUUUUUCUUGUAAACUUCUGUAAGAAGGGAAAAACAUUCCGGUUUACCGGAGUUGAUUGUACCUUCAAAGUAAGCCCCGGCUAACUACGUGCCAGCAGCCGCGGUAAUACGUAGGGGGCAAGCGUUGUCCGGAUUUACUGGGUGUAAAGGGUGCUCAGGCGGAUUUGUAAGUCAGAGGUGAAACUCCGAAGCUUAACUUCGGAACUGCCUUUGAUACUGCAGGUCUAGAGUUUGAGAGAGGGUAAUGGAAUAUGUGGUGUAGCAGUGAAAUGCGUAGAUAUCAGAUAGAACACCAAUGGCGAAGGCAGUUACCUGGCUCAAUACUGACGCUAAAGCACGAAAGUGUGGGGAGCAAACAGGAUUAGAUACCCCGGUAGC
RNAcentral lists this ribosomal RNA (451 nucleotides) under uncultured bacterium. Its description in RNAcentral is "bacterial SSU rRNA". It matches the Rfam family "Bacterial small subunit ribosomal RNA", at positions 343 to 794 of the family's 1533-position model. The record is from RNAcentral.